Molecule: small nuclear RNA, 150 nt
Organism: Denticeps clupeoides (denticle herring)
Lineage: Eukaryota; Metazoa; Chordata; Actinopteri; Clupeiformes; Denticipitidae
Gene: U2
Rfam family: U2 spliceosomal RNA
About the family: U2 is a small nuclear RNA (snRNA) component of the spliceosome (involved in pre-mRNA splicing).
Source: Ensembl
UCUGUUCUUAUCAGUUUAAUAUCUGAUACGUCCCCCAGCGGGGGACUACAUAUUAAGCGGAUUUUAGAACAGGGAUCGGCAAAGGACUUGCUCCAUCCGCUCCACGCAUCGACCCAGUAUUGCAGUGCCUCUGGGAGCGGUGCACUUUCU